UACGUAGGUGGCGAGCGUUGUCCGGAUUUAUUGGGCGUAAAGCGCGCGCAGGCGGUGCGGUAAGUCUGUCGUGAAAUCUCCCGGCUCAACUGGGAGGGUGCGGUGGAGACUGCCGGACUGGAGGCACUCAGAGGCCGGUGGAAUUCCCGGUGUAGUGGUGAAAUGCGUAGAGAUCAGGAGGAACACCGGUGGCGAAGGCGGGUCUCUGGGCCGUUACUGACGCUGAGGAGCGAAAGCGUGGGGAGCGAACAGG
This 253-nucleotide ribosomal RNA is filed under the name uncultured bacterium. RNAcentral's name for it is "partial 16S ribosomal RNA". It matches the Rfam family "Bacterial small subunit ribosomal RNA", at positions 524 to 776 of the family's 1533-position model. The record is from RNAcentral.